RNAcentral lists this ribosomal RNA (429 nucleotides) under Gemmatimonadota bacterium. Its description in RNAcentral is "Gemmatimonadetes bacterium partial 16S ribosomal RNA". It matches the Rfam family "Bacterial small subunit ribosomal RNA", at positions 355 to 776 of the family's 1533-position model. The record is from RNAcentral. Lineage: Bacteria; Pseudomonadati; Gemmatimonadota.
UAGGGAAUCUUCGGCAAUGGACGAAAGUCUGACCGAGCAACGCCGCGUGAGUGAAGAAGGUUUUCGGAUCGUAAAACUCUGUUGUUAGAGAAGAACAAGGACGUUAGUAACUGAACGUCCCCUGACGGUAUCUAACCAGAAAGCCACGGCUAACUACGUGCCAGCAGCCGCGGUAAUACGUAGGUGGCAAGCGUUGUCCGGAUUUAUUGGGCGUAAAGCGAGCGCAGGCGGUUUCUUAAGUCUGAUGUGAAAGCCCCCGGCUCAACCGGGGAGGGUCAUUGGAAACUGGGGGACUGGAGUGCAGAAGAGGAGAGUGGAAUUCCAUGUGUAGCGGUGAAAUGCGUAGAUAUAUGGAGGAACACCAGUGGCGAAGGCGGCUCUCUGGUCUGUAACUGACGCUGAGGCUCGAAAGCGGGGGGAGCAAACAGG